This 301-nucleotide ribosomal RNA is filed under the name uncultured bacterium. RNAcentral describes it as "partial 16S ribosomal RNA". It matches the Rfam family "Bacterial small subunit ribosomal RNA", at positions 509 to 808 of the family's 1533-position model. The record is from RNAcentral.
CAGCAGCCGCGGUAAGACGAACCGUGCGAACGUUAUUCGGAAUUACUGGGCUUAAAGCGCGUGUAGGCGGGCCGCCACGUCGGUCGCUGAAAUCCCCCGGCUCAACCCUGGACAGGCGGUGGAAACUACCAAGCUGGAGUACGGUAGGGGUAGAGGGAAUUUCCGGUGGAGCGGUGAAAUGCGUUGAGAUCGGAAAGAACACCAACGACGAAAGCACUCUGCUGGGCCGACACUGAUACUGAGAGACGAAAGCUAGGGGAGCAAAUGGGAUUAGAGACCCCAGUAGUCCCUGUCUCUUAUA